This is a microRNA precursor of Chlorocebus sabaeus (green monkey), 85 nucleotides long. Lineage: Eukaryota; Metazoa; Chordata; Mammalia; Primates; Cercopithecidae. The record is from Ensembl.
AUUUAGGUUGGUGCAAAAGUAAUUGUGGAUUUUGCCAUUGAAAGUAAUGGCCAAAACCACAGUUCCUUUUGCACCAAUCUAUAGA